AACACACAAUGUGACUUUGUGGUGCUGAUAAUGAACAAUGUGUUGUGAUGCUGCACGGCCGCACCGACGAACACAAAGCGUUUAUCCGACGGCAGCAGCGCGACGGAGGCGAUACACGAUGUCACAGAGAGGGAGGAAGAGGAGGAAGAGGAGGAGGACGAGGACGAGGAGGAGUGCCUUGCUCAUGGAGAGGGUUUAGGGAAGCUGAAACAAUGACUUUCUCUCUCUGGCUCCUCCACUCGUCGCUCUCCGUCCUUCUAUCAUCUUUCAAUCUCAGUCUGAGUUUUUCUGAUUGAUACACUCAUUCCACAAAGAUUUCACGCUUGACGGAUCCCAAAUGGUUCUCCUCUCGUGACAAACAGAUCGAUUUUUAUAGACUUGAAAGUUGCUGGUCUUGAAAAUUGUUUGGGCGUCUUGAAGACGCCGUCUGGCUCCGCCCCCCCCCCGAGUCGCGGCCUUCUUUGUGCUGCCGUGAAGCGUUUACAUGAAGUCGCUGAUAUCCAGCGGCGCCCAGAUGUUUCCGCGCUCAAAUGAUUUCGAAAGGUGAAACACGAAAUGUGUCGAAAGGGCCCAAACGUGGCUGAAGCGGCGUUAGAUGAGCCGACGCGGCGCGCCUCAUCGGGAGGAGGGCCGGGUAAACGGCAGGGGGCGGAGCCUCUGGCAGCAUCACAAAGGUUCCUGCAGGAGACCCACCUGCUGGGACGCAGACACACUAAAUACGACAGUCAUACGUGCGGGAUUAAAAAUGUCUCCACCCGCAGUGAUGUUCUUCACAGCGGAUCUUCACCGUGAUCUCAGGGUCCACAGAGCGGUGAGCUCGUGCUCCUGAUGAUGGAACGCAGUUCACAGACGUCUCUCCACCUUCAGACUGCACACAAGGAAGGAAGCCUCGGAGAAAUACACAGAACUCACGAAGGAAGCGGAGACGACCGGCCGGCUAACCAGCGGAGCGAGGGAGGCGGCGGGAGCAGGUGGCCGUCUGCAGCCACCCGGGUCUGAUCAGACCAGGUGAUCAGACUGCAGUUGCAGUUCCUUGUUUCCUCGUCUCCGCCCACCUUUCUGAAAGACAAUCAGCGGGCGCUCGCCCGUCCGGCGGCGGCAGCGGCGGUGUGAACCGCCGCGUUGACCCCGCGGCCGGGGGACAGCGAUCGCCAGCGCUGAAAGGGAUUCUGGGAAAGGUAGAAGCAGAGAAGACCGGCUGUGGGAAAAUUGACGCACCAUUAAGUUUAUUCCAACACUUCAUCACAGAAUAACUGUGGAUCAAUGGAUUGGGAACAAGACAAUCAGGGGGAUUCUCUUCAAAUAAAACCAGUUCACUGACUUAUUAUUGCUGCCUUACUUUAUACUUUCUUAGUAUGACUCCAAUUUAUCACCUGGAGGUUUAUCUUUUUAAAGUGAACCUGUGAGUAAUUAGUGAAGUUUAAAUUCUAUAAAAGUUAAUGGGGGAACAGUGAGCCAGAUGUGUCAAGUGAAAGGAUGUGAAACCACAAAUGACUAUUUGAUGCUUUCUGGGGAAAUGCAGUACAGAUAAAUGGUCUCGUGCCCGUCAGGUCUACGUUUGAUCGUCUAGACUAGCAGAGCAUUCGGUGACGUCAUUCAUGAUCCCAGCUGAUCACCGGAUGAGGCGCAUGCUGAACAUACCUGCUGGUUAGCGCCCUCGCUGUGAGCAUGUUAGCGUUUCCAUCAGAACGUGCAGCCGUGACUCCUGAAGACCUCCUUGUUCGUCCAUCACGGGGAUCUGACCCUCCUUGACCUCCUCCUGCAGGAACACGCACCUCCAGGUAGACGCAGCACUUAAUCGAUGCCGAGAGGUUCUCAGCGAGCCGACCGCACAACAAUCGAUCCGUGAGGAGCUUUGAUGCGCUAAAUGCUGUUCGACACGAGGAAUCAUGUGUGAACAACACCGAGCUACACGCGUGAUUAAAACAAAGCUCGAUUUCAGCAGGAAACAGACUUUGACUUUUAAUGAAGAACAAUGAAAAGUGACCGAGUACAAUUAAA
Molecule: long non-coding RNA, 2001 nt
Organism: Gasterosteus aculeatus aculeatus (three-spined stickleback)
Lineage: Eukaryota; Metazoa; Chordata; Actinopteri; Perciformes; Gasterosteidae
Source: RefSeq, a predicted model, not a curated record